UACGAAGGGGGCGAGCGUUGUUCGGAUUUACUGGGCGUAAAGCGCGCGCAGGCGGCCCGCGAGGUGUCACGUGAAAGCCCCGGGCUCAACCCGGGAGGGUCGUGGCAAACCGGCGGGCUUGAGGCCGGUAGAGGUGGGUGGAACUCCUGGUGGAGUGGUGAAAUGCGUAGAGAUCAGGAAGAACACCCGUGGCGAAGGCGGCCCACUGGGCCGGUACUGACGCUGAGGCGCGAAGGCGUGGGGAGCGAACGGG
RNAcentral lists this ribosomal RNA (253 nucleotides) under uncultured bacterium. RNAcentral describes it as "partial 16S ribosomal RNA". It matches the Rfam family "Bacterial small subunit ribosomal RNA", at positions 524 to 776 of the family's 1533-position model. The record is from RNAcentral.